RNAcentral lists this ribosomal RNA (557 nucleotides) under Croisettea tasmanica. Its description in RNAcentral is "partial 28S ribosomal RNA". It matches the Rfam family "Eukaryotic large subunit ribosomal RNA", at positions 364 to 1006 of the family's 3401-position model. The record is from RNAcentral. Lineage: Eukaryota; Rhodophyta; Florideophyceae; Gigartinales; Kallymeniaceae.
AUGACAAGCACUUUGAAAAGAGGGUGAAAAGAGCCUGAAACCGUUAUGGGGGAAGCGGAUUGCGUUGGAUUGAUGGGUUGCUGCGUGUUCAGCCGAAAGGUGCAUUGGCGCAGUAGCUUACCCGCCAUGGGUUCCGAGUGGUUGAUGUUGAACCAUUUGGGGCUGAGGGAUCCCUUUUAUAGGUGAGGAUGGCUGGGUGACGACGCGAUACGACCCGUCUUGAAACACGGACCAAGGAGUCUAGCGCGAUUGCGAGUCAGAGGGUGCAAGCCUGAGGGCGUAGUGAAAGCGAGUGUGAAAACGAGCAGUUUGGGGCGGCAUKAGAUCGUUGAUCUCAAGUCCGACCUUGAGCAAUUGCGCUGGGACCCGAAAGAUGGUGAACUAUGCCGGAGUAGGGCAAAGCCAGAGGAAACUCUGGUGGAGGCUCGUAGCGGUGCUGACGUGCAAAUCGCUCGUCUAACUUUGGUAUAGGGGCGAAAGACUAAUCGAAUCAUCUAGUAGCUGGUUCCCUCCGAAGUUUCUCUCAGGAUAGCGGGCCGACUUUUGUUGUUUUGUGC